UGGGGAAUAUUGCACAAUGGGCGAAAGCCUGAUGCAGCAACGCCGCGUGAGUGAUGAAGGUCUUCGGAUUGUAAAGCUCUGUCUUUUGGGACGAUAAUGACGGUACCAAAGGAGGAAGCCACGGCUAACUACGUGCCAGCAGCCGCGGUAAUACGUAGGUGGCGAGCGUUGUCCGGAUUUACUGGGCGUAAAGGGUGCGUAGGCGGAUGUUUAAGUGAGAUGUGAAAUACCCGGGCUUAACUUGGGUGCUGCAUUUCAAACUGGAUAUCUAGAGUGCAGGAGAGGAGAAUGGAAUUCCUAGUGUAGCGGUGAAAUGCGUAGAGAUUAGGAAGAACACCAGUGGCGAAGGCGAUUCUCUGGACUGUAACUGACGCUGAGGCACGAAAGCGUGGGUAGCAAACAGGAUUAGAUACCCUGGUAGUCCACGCCGUAAAACGAUGAGUACUAGGUGUAGGAGGUAUCGACCCCUUCU
Molecule: ribosomal RNA, 472 nt
Filed under: uncultured bacterium
Lineage: Bacteria
Description: partial 16S ribosomal RNA
Rfam family: Bacterial small subunit ribosomal RNA
Source: RNAcentral